RNAcentral lists this long non-coding RNA (1206 nucleotides) under Parus major (Great Tit). Its description in RNAcentral is "lncRNA (ENSPMJG00000013752.1)". The record is from RNAcentral. Lineage: Eukaryota; Metazoa; Chordata; Aves; Passeriformes; Paridae.
CUUAAGAUGUCAAGAGACUGUUGCUUGAAAGAAAUAUUUAAACAUUAGUUGUUUACACAACAGUGUAUGCUUUUCCUGCGCUUGCUGACCCCGAAUGCAUAUUCCCUGAAGGACUGAGGCAAAAGAUAGAGAAAGCAGAAACUGUCUGCAUGAAGCUUUGGAUAAGAACCAAAGAAUUCCUAAUCCUGUGUCAUUGCUUGCAUUUUCCUCUUCUGUCUAAUUUCUCUCUUCUAUGUGUUCUCUACAAGACAGUCACCAAAAGCAAUUUCUAUUCUUGUUUUUGCCACUUCACUAUUGCACCUUAAAAAUAUGAGACAAUCUCUAGAGAGAAUGUAAAGACAGGUCAGGCUUGCAUCUAUUCAUGUUCACCAUUUUAAUCUUAGUUUUUAAAUAUUUUUUUGAGUCUUCUGUUACAUAUAGAAGGGCACUCCUAUCUUCUAAGUCUCAGAAACAUAAUUAUCUCCCUACAGAUUCCAUGAAAGGGAAAAAUCCCAAGAAUCCAGAGAGCUUAAGAGAAAAAGAGACUGGUAAAAGAAAAGAUGUGAAGUCUCCUGCAACCUUAAAGGAAAAAGACUCUUCAAAACAAAAAGAACCUAAGGCUUCAACUAAUCCUAAGGAAAAAGCUGCAGUGAAAAAGGAGGGGGAGAAGAAAGUUUCAGGGAACAGCACAUGAAAACGUCAGAAGCUGAGGAUGAUAUUGAGAGGAAGCUCUUCAGGUCUUUCACCACACGUGCCUAAAGAUGAAAUGCAUUAAUGCAGCAGAUGUACCUCAUCUACAUUUGACUGAAAUUUUAUUCUUUCCAGCACUGUCGAUGGAAGAUUUGUUCUCCUGGGAUUUUAGGACUUAUAGUACUUUAAAGAGACUAGUUUUCAGUGCUAUCAUGCAAGAUUGCUGUUUCAAUAACUUACAUUUCCCAGAACAUUUCUAUUGUUUAAGUGACAAACUGGGAAACAGAAAGAUUGGGAUCAUUACUGGUGAUUCCUAAAGGCAUGCAUCUCAGAUUGAAGCUGAAACAACUCCUCUUAUUAAAAGUAAUUUUAAAAUGUUGGAAAUGUCUGUACUUCUUUGCUACUUCUAUUAUAUUUGCAUCAUGAUAAAGUUUCUCCCUUCCCUCCUCUCUUCUACUUUUUGGUUUUCCCUGUUAUAUAAAGUACUCUUGAACUGUCAGUUAAAAAUAAAUCUUAAAAAACAAGUUGUUCUAGACA